This 253-nucleotide ribosomal RNA is filed under the name uncultured bacterium. RNAcentral's name for it is "partial 16S ribosomal RNA". It matches the Rfam family "Bacterial small subunit ribosomal RNA", at positions 524 to 776 of the family's 1533-position model. The record is from RNAcentral.
UACGUAGGUGGCAAGCGUUGUCCGGAUUUACUGGGCGUAAAGAGCGCGCAGGUGGUCGAUCAAGUCGCGUGUGAAAGCCCCCGGCUCAACUGGGGAGGGUCACGCGAUACUGAUCGACUCGAAGGCAGGAGAGGGUAGUGGAAUUCCCGGUGUAGUGGUGAAAUGCGUAGAUAUCGGGAGGAACACCAGUGGCGAAGGCGACUACCUGGCCUGUUCUUGACGCUGAGGCGCGAAAGCUAGGGGAGCAAACGGG